This 549-nucleotide ribosomal RNA is filed under the name uncultured Glomeromycotina. RNAcentral describes it as "SSU rRNA". It matches the Rfam family "Eukaryotic small subunit ribosomal RNA", at positions 548 to 1098 of the family's 1831-position model. Lineage: Eukaryota; Fungi; Glomeromycota. The record is from RNAcentral. RNAcentral also lists the same sequence under 2 other names.
UUGGAGGGCAAGUCUGGUGCCAGCAGCCGCGGUAAUUCCAGCUCCAAUAGCGUAUAUUAAAGUUGUUGCAGUUAAAAAGCUCGUAGUUGAAUUUCGGGGUCAGUAGGUUGGUCAUGCCACAGGUAUGUACUGGUCUCACUGAUUCCUCCUUCCUGAUGAACUGUAAUGCCAUUAAUUUGGUGUUGCAGGGAAUCUGGACUGUUACUUUGAAAAAAUUAGAGUGUUUAAAGCAGGCUAACGCCUGAAUACAUUAGCAUGGAAUAAUGAAAUAGGACGUUCGAUCCUAUUUUGUUGGUUUCUAGGAUUGACGUAAUGAUUAAUAGGGAUAGUUGGGGGCAUUAGUAUUCAAUUGUCAGAGGUGAAAUUCUUGGAUUUAUUGAAGACUAACUACUGCGAAAGCAUUUGCCAAGGAUGUUUUCAUUAAUCAAGAACGAAAGUUAGGGGAUCGAAGACGAUCAGAUACCGUCGUAGUCUUAACCAUAAACUAUGCCGACUAGGGAUCGGAUGAUGUUAAUUUUUUAAUGACUCAUUCGGCGCCUUACGGGAAAC